Molecule: ribosomal RNA, 253 nt
Filed under: uncultured bacterium
Lineage: Bacteria
Description: partial 16S ribosomal RNA
Rfam family: Bacterial small subunit ribosomal RNA
Source: RNAcentral
UACGGAGGGGGCUAGCGUUGUUCGGAAUUACUGGGCGUAAAGCGCACGUAGGCGGACUUGAAAGUCAGAGGUGAAAUCCCAGGGCUCAACCUUGGAACUGCCUUUGAAACUUCUGGUCUUGAGGUCGAGAGAGGUGAGUGGAAUUCCGAGUGUAGAGGUGAAAUUCGUAGAUAUUCGGAGGAACACCAGUGGCGAAGGCGGCUCACUGGCACGAUACUGCCGCUGAGGUGCGAAAGCGUGAGGAGCAAAUAGG